Molecule: non-coding RNA, 85 nt
Organism: Vibrio mangrovi
Lineage: Bacteria; Pseudomonadati; Pseudomonadota; Gammaproteobacteria; Vibrionales; Vibrionaceae
Source: Rfam
AAUUAUGGUGGACUGGACAAGGCAGCCUUGGCUGGCCGUAUCGUGAGUGCGGUAUUCCUACACCUUGUUCUAGUUCACCACCCAG